CAGUCGCCGCGGGAACACGGAGGGGGCUAGCGUUGUUCGGAAUUACUGGGCGUAAAGCGCAUGUAGGCGGCUUGGUAAGUUAGAGGUGAAAGCCCGGAGCUCAACUCCGGAAUUGCCUUUAAGACUGCCGAGCUAGUAGGUGAGAGAGGUAAGUGGAAUUCCGAGUGUAGAGGUGAAAUUCGUAGAUAUUCGGAAGAACACCAGUGGCGAAGGCGGCUUACUGGCUCAUUCUAGACGCUGAGGUGCGAAAGCGUGGGGAGCAAACAGGAUUAGAUACCCCCGUAGUCCCUGUCUCUUAUAC
This 301-nucleotide ribosomal RNA is filed under the name uncultured bacterium. RNAcentral's name for it is "partial 16S ribosomal RNA". It matches the Rfam family "Bacterial small subunit ribosomal RNA", at positions 509 to 807 of the family's 1533-position model. The record is from RNAcentral.